Molecule: ribosomal RNA, 424 nt
Filed under: uncultured prokaryote
Description: bacterial SSU rRNA
Rfam family: Bacterial small subunit ribosomal RNA
Source: RNAcentral
UGGGGAAUCUUAGACAAUGGGGGAAACCCUGAUCUAGCCAUGCCGCGUGAGUGAUGAAGGCCCUAGGGUCGUAAAGCUCUUUCGCCAGGGAUGAUAAUGACAGUACCUGGUAAAGAAACCCCGGCUAACUGCGUCCGAGCAGCCGCGGUAAUACGGAGGGGGUUAGGGUUGUUCGGAAUUACUGGGCGUAAAGCGCACGUAGGCGGACUGUUAAGUCAGAGGUGAAAUCCCGGGGCUCAACCCCGGAACUGCCUUUGAUACUGGCAGUCUUGAGUUCGAGGGAGGUGAGUGGAAUUCCGAGUGUAGAGGUGAAAUUCGUAGAUAUUCGGAGGAACACCAGUGGCGAAGGCGGCUCACUGGCUCGAUACUGACGCUGAGGUGCGAAAGUGAGGGGAGCAAACAGGAUUAGAUACCCGUGUAGUCC